GCUUGCUUCUAUGACGUUAGCGGCGGACGGGUGAGUAACACGUGGGCAACCUGCCUGUAAGACUGGGAUAACUUCGGGAAACCGAAGCUAAUACCGGAUAGGAUCUUCUCCUUCAUGGGAGAUGAUUGAAAGAUGGUUUCGGCUAUCACUUACAGAUGGGCCCGCGGUGCAUUAGCUAGUUGGUGAGGUAACGGCUCACCAAGGCAACGAUGCAUAGCCGACCUGAGAGGGUGAUCGGCCACACUGGGACUGAGACACGGCCCAGACUCCUACGGGAGGCAGCAGUAGGGAAUCUUCCGCAAUGGACGAAAGUCUGACGGAGCAACGCCGCGUGAGUGAUGAAGGCUUUCGGGUCGUAAAACUCUGUUGUUAGGGAAGAACAAGUACAAGAGUAACUGCUUGUACCUUGACGGUACCUAACCAGAAAGCCACGGCUAACUACGUGCCAGCAGCCGCGGUAAUACGUAGGUGGCAAGCGUUAUCCGGAAUUAUUGGGCGUAAAGCGCGCGCAGGCGGUUUCUUAAGUCUGAUGUGAAAGCCCACGGCUCAACCGUGGAGGGUCAUUGGAAACUGGGGAACUUGAGUGCAGAAGAGAAAAGCGGAAUUCCACGUGUAGCGGU
RNAcentral lists this ribosomal RNA (620 nucleotides) under Priestia megaterium. RNAcentral describes it as "bacterial SSU rRNA". It matches the Rfam family "Bacterial small subunit ribosomal RNA", at positions 78 to 682 of the family's 1533-position model. Lineage: Bacteria; Bacillati; Bacillota; Bacilli; Caryophanales; Bacillaceae. The record is from RNAcentral. RNAcentral also lists the same sequence under 1 other name.